RNAcentral lists this ribosomal RNA (378 nucleotides) under uncultured bacterium. RNAcentral describes it as "bacterial SSU rRNA". It matches the Rfam family "Bacterial small subunit ribosomal RNA", at positions 523 to 898 of the family's 1533-position model. The record is from RNAcentral.
AUACGGAGGGGGCGAGCGUUGUCCGAAUUUAUUGGGCGUAAAGCGCGUGUAGGCGGAUCGUCAAGCCUGGGGUGAAAGGUCGGGGCUCAACCCCGCACAGUGCCCUGGGGACUGGCGGUCUGGAGGCAGGCAGAGGAGCGUAGAAUUCCUGGUGUAGCGGUGGAAUGCGUAGAGAUCAGGAAGAAUACCCGUGGCGAAGGCGGCGCUCUGGGCCUGUACUGACGCUGAGACGCGAAAGCGGGGGGAGCGAACGGGAUUAGAUACCCCGGUAGUCCACGCCGUAAACGAUGGAUGCUCGGUGUCGGGGGUAUCGACCCCCUCGGCGCCUUAGGUAACCCGGUAAGCAUCCCGCCUGGGGAGUACGGCCGCAAGGUUGAA